This 253-nucleotide ribosomal RNA is filed under the name uncultured bacterium. RNAcentral's name for it is "partial 16S ribosomal RNA". It matches the Rfam family "Bacterial small subunit ribosomal RNA", at positions 524 to 776 of the family's 1533-position model. The record is from RNAcentral.
UACGUAGGUGGCAAGCGUUGUCCGGAAUUAUUGGGCGUAAAGCGCGCGCAGGCGGUCCUUUAAGUCUGAUGUGAAAGCCCACGGCUCAACCGUGGAGGGUCAUUGGAAACUGGGGGACUUGAGUGCAGGAGAGAAGAGUGGAAUUCCACGUGUAGCGGUGAAAUGCGUAGAGAUGUGGAGGAACACCAGUGGCGAAGGCGACUCACUGGCCCGGUACUGACGCUGAGGCACGAAAGCGUGGGGAGCAAACAGG